GGAGAGGUGCCCGAGUGGCUGAAGGGGCACGCCUGGAAAGCGUGUGUGCGGGUAACCGUACCGAGGGUUCGAAUCCCUCUCUCUCCG
Molecule: transfer RNA, 87 nt
Filed under: Rubrivirga sp. SAORIC476
Lineage: Bacteria; Pseudomonadati; Rhodothermota; Rhodothermia; Rhodothermales; Rubricoccaceae
Also listed under: 1 other name
Description: tRNA-Ser
Rfam family: tRNA
About the family: Transfer RNA (tRNA) molecules are approximately 80 nucleotides in length. Their secondary structure includes four short double-helical elements and three loops (D, anti-codon, and T loops). Further hydrogen bonds mediate the characteristic L-shaped molecular structure. tRNAs have two regions of fundamental functional importance: the anti-codon, which is responsible for specific mRNA codon recognition, and the 3' end, to which the tRNAs corresponding amino acid is attached (by aminoacyl-tRNA synthetases). tRNAs cope with the degeneracy of the genetic code in two manners: having more than one tRNA (with a specific anti-codon) for a particular amino acid; and 'wobble' base-pairing, i.e. permitting non-standard base-pairing at the 3rd anti-codon position.
Source: RNAcentral